CGAAGCUAUGAGAAAAUCGUUUGUUUCAGUUAGUGUAAACUAUUUAAACGUAAGACAGCUAAAAAAUUUGUUUGGUCGUCAAGUGUUUUCAAUUGAAGUUGUACAUUCCCAUACCUAAACUACAUAACAGAAAUUACUCUUUAGAUAUCGACCUAAAAAAUUAUAACGAUAAGUUGCUAAUAAAAUGGUGGGUCGUUGCUGUUCGAUUGUGUUGUGCUUGUUGCUGCCACCGUUAGCGGUUUGCAUCGAUAGAGGAUGUGGUUGUAGCACUUUUAUCAACAUAUUACUAUGCAUUUUUGGACUUUGGCUAGGUGGCAUUAUACACGCAUUUUGUGUCACAAAUGCUUGUGGAAGAAACGAUUCAAGGGAUCGAAAUCCAGCAUAAAUGUCAAAAGAAAUCAUAAAAUUAAUGAAUAAAGUUGUGAAACAUAACAUU
Bradysia coprophila is the source of this 436-nucleotide long non-coding RNA. The record is from RefSeq and is a predicted model, not a curated record. Lineage: Eukaryota; Metazoa; Arthropoda; Insecta; Diptera; Sciaridae.